Molecule: ribosomal RNA, 274 nt
Filed under: uncultured bacterium
Lineage: Bacteria
Description: partial 16S ribosomal RNA
Rfam family: Bacterial small subunit ribosomal RNA
Source: RNAcentral
AUACGGAGGGUGCAAGCGUUAUUCGGAAUUACUGGGCGUAAAGCGUACGUAGGCGGUUAUUUAAGUCAGAUGUGAAAGCCCCGGGCUUAACUUGGGAACUGCAUUUGAAACUGGGUAACUAGAGUUUAGUAGAGGGGAGUGGAAUUUCAGGUGUAGCGGUGAAAUGCGUAGAGAUCUAAAGGAACACCAGUGGCGAAGGCGACUCCCUGGACUAAAACUGACGCUGAGGUACGAAAGCGUGGGUAGCAAACAGGAUUAGAAACCCUAGUAGUCC